AACGAACGCUGGCGGCAUGCCUAACACAUGCAAGUCGAACGAACUCUUCGGAGUUAGUGGCGCACGGGUGCGUAACGCGUGGGAAUCUGCCCUUGGGUACGGAAUAACUCAGAGAAAUUUGUGCUAAUACCGUAUAAUGACUUCGGUCCAAAGAUUUAUCGCCCAAGGAUGAGCCUGCGUAAGAUUAGCUAGUUGGUGGG
This 200-nucleotide ribosomal RNA is filed under the name uncultured bacterium. RNAcentral's name for it is "partial 16S ribosomal RNA". It matches the Rfam family "Bacterial small subunit ribosomal RNA", at positions 29 to 256 of the family's 1533-position model. The record is from RNAcentral.